This 468-nucleotide ribosomal RNA is filed under the name uncultured bacterium. Its description in RNAcentral is "partial 16S ribosomal RNA". It matches the Rfam family "Bacterial small subunit ribosomal RNA", at positions 28 to 507 of the family's 1533-position model. The record is from RNAcentral.
GACGAACGCUGGCGGCGUGCUUAACACAUGCAAGUCGAACGGAAAGGCCCUGCUUUUGUGGGGUGCUCGAUUGGCGAACGGGUGAGUAACACGUGAGUAACCUGCCCUUGACUUUGGGAUAACUUCAGGAAACUGGGGCUAAUACCGGAUAUGAGCUCCUGCUGCAUGUUGGGGGUUGGUAAGUUUCGGCGGUUGGGGAUGGACUCGCGGCUUAUCAGCUUGUUGGUGGGGUAGUGGCUUACCAAGGCUUUGACGGGUAGCCGGCCUGAGAGGGUUACCGGCGACAAGGGGACUAAGAUAGGGACCAGACUCCUACGGGAGGCAGCGGUGGGGAGUAUGGCACAAUGGGCGGAAGCCUGAUGCAGAGACGCCGCGUGCGGGAUGACGGCCUUCGGGGGGUAAACCGCUUUCGAAUGAGACGAAGAGUGAGUGACGGUAAUGGGUAAAGAAGCACCGGCUAACUACGUG